Molecule: ribosomal RNA, 844 nt
Filed under: Pestalotiopsis dianellae
Lineage: Eukaryota; Fungi; Ascomycota; Sordariomycetes; Amphisphaeriales; Sporocadaceae
Description: eukaryotic LSU rRNA
Rfam family: Eukaryotic large subunit ribosomal RNA
Source: RNAcentral
CAGGGAUUGCCUUAGUAACGGCGAGUGAAGCGGCAACAGCUCAAAUUUGAAAUCUGGCCCUCGGGUCCGAAUUGUAAUUUGUAGAGGAUGAUUUUGGUGCGGUAUCUUCCGAGUUCCUUGGAACAGGACGCCUUAGAGGGUGAGAGCCCCGUACGGUUGAAUGCCUAGCCUUUGUAAAUCUCCUUCGACGAGUCGAGUAGUUUGGGAAUGCUGCUCUAAAUGGGAGGUAAAUUUCUUCUAAAGCUAAAUAUUGGCCAGAGACCGAUAGCGCACAAGUAGAGUGAUCGAAAGAUGAAAAGCACUUUGAAAAGAGGGUUAAAUAGCACGUGAAAUUGUUGAAAGGGAAGGAUUUGUGACCAGACUUUUUCUGGGCGGAUCAUCCGGGGUUCUCUCCGGUGCACUUUGCCCAGUAAAGGCCAGCAUCGAUUUUCGGCGGCGGAUAAAAGCAGUGGGAAUGUGGCUCUCUACGGGGAGUGUUAUAGCCCAUUGUAUAAUACGCUGCUGGGGAUCGAGGUACGCGCUUCUGCAAGGAUGCUGGCGUAAUGGUUAUCAAUCACCCGUCUUGAAACACGGACCAAGGAGUCGAACAUUUGUGCAAGUGUUUGGGUGUUAAACCCUCACGCGUAAUGAAAGUGAACGGAGGUGAGAGCCCGCAAGGGUGCAUCAUCGACCGAUCCUGAAGUUUUCGGAUGGAUUUGAGUAAGAGCAUAACUGUUCGGACCCGAAAGAUGGUGAACUAUGCGUGGAUAGGGUGAAGCCAGAGGAAACUCUGGUGGAGGCUCGCAGCGGUUCUGACGUGCAAAUCGAUCGUCAAAUCUGCGCAUGGGGGCGAAAGACUAAUCGA